Molecule: long non-coding RNA, 413 nt
Filed under: Musa acuminata (dwarf banana)
Lineage: Eukaryota; Viridiplantae; Streptophyta; Magnoliopsida; Zingiberales; Musaceae
Description: long non-coding RNA (MACU_LNC002674)
Source: RNAcentral
AGAAUAUUGAUUUUGGACUCUUUCACUCGGCUAGUGCCUUCAUGAGUGACCUCUAGAGUUCUCCAAAUAUCAAAAGCUGAGUCACACAUCGAAACGCGAUUAAAUUCAUUUUUGUCAAGUGCACAAUAUAAGGCAUUCAUAGCCUUUGCAUUUAGAGAAAACAUCUUCUUCUCCAAAUCAUUCCAAUGGUUCAUUGGGAGAGAAGACAUUUCAAAUCCAUUUUCGACUAUGUCCCAUAAAUUCAAAUCCAAAGAAAGUAAGAAAACUCUCAUUCGAGUUUUCCAACAAGUGUAGUCCCAUUGAAAAAGGGAGGACGAAUGAGAGAGUGACCCUCUUGAAAGCCAUAAAGAGCCAUUUCUAUUUGGGUGUUAAACCAAAGUAGAAAACCGUGGCUCUGAUACCAAUUGUUAGGA